Long non-coding RNA from Schistocerca piceifrons (Central American locust), 720 nucleotides. RefSeq lists it as uncharacterized. The record is from RefSeq and is a predicted model, not a curated record. Lineage: Eukaryota; Metazoa; Arthropoda; Insecta; Orthoptera; Acrididae. The transcript has 2 exons.
CUAGUAUACGAAGUUUGGCACAUUUGAAAGUUUUCUAUGAAAUUCAGCACACAGCCCAAAGUCAGGGUCAUGGCCAUCUGCAGUGGACCAGAUGGCAUUCCAGCAGGAGGCACUUCCUGUAAAGGUGGACGCACCCUCAUCACCAAUGCCAAUUAUCACAGCAGCUCGGGUUGCCAUGGGUGACGCGUCUGCACCCUGCUGCCUUUCUCUUCAAGGGAGUGGGGGGGGUGAAUGGCGGGGCAUGGACAGGAGCCUGUCCCAACUUCAGUCUCAUUUCCCGUCCCAUCUGGUGCACCUGCACCCAUACCUCCCCUUGCCGUCGGUUCGCACCGCAACCAUAUGUGACUAUGGCCAUGAGAUUUUGGGGGAGAAGUGUGGUGUUGUAAGCACAGCACACACCACCAGGCAGCACCACAAGCGUUAAUAGAUCAAGAGUGAUGGCACUGCCAGAGAAGUGAUACGCACUGGUGCCACUGCACAGCAGCCAGUUCCAAGUCAGCUCAACUACCGAGAAGACUGCCUUUACAUGUGUUUUGUGCCAUGUCAUCUCCUUCUAUUGAGUCCACACCUGCCUGUCUAGUGAACAUUCUAGUGGGACAAGAACUGUUUGCUAUAUAGCCUUAGCUUCUGGAAUAGUAGUUGAACUUCAGGACCUAUUGAGUGAGCCAAUUUGUACAAAAGUGAGUAUUCAUCAAUAUAUGUGCAAGUUCUUAUCACUAA